GGCGAACGGGUGAGUAACACGUGGGUGAUCUGCCCUGCACUUUGGGAUAAGCCUGGGAAACUGGGUCUAAUACCGAAUACACCUCAUUGGUCGCAUGGCCUGGUGGGGGAAAGCUUUUGCGGUGUGGGAUGGGCCCGCGGCCUAUCAGCUUGUUGGUGGGGUGAUGGCCUACCAAGGCGACGACGGGUAGCCGGCCUGAGAGGGUGUCCGGCCACACUGGGACUGAGAUACGGCCCAGACUCCUACGGGAGGCAGCAGUGGGGAAUAUUGCACAAUGGGCGCAAGCCUGAUGCAGCGACGCCGCGUGGGGGAUGACGGCCUUCGGGUUGUAAACCCCUUUCAGUAGGGACGAAGCGCAAGUGACGGUACCUACAGAAGAAGGACCGGCCAACUACGUGCCAGCAGCCGCGGUAAUACGUAGGGUCCGAGCGUUGUCCGGAAUUACUGGGCGUAAAGAGCUCGUAGGUGGUUUGUCGCGUUGUUCGUGAAAACUCACAGCUUAACUGUGGGCGUGCGGGCGAUACGGGCAGACUGGAGUACUGCAGGGGAGACUGGAAUUCCUGGUGUAGCGGUGGAAUGCGCAGAUAUCAGGAGGAACACCGGUGGCGAAGGCGGGUCUCUGGGCAGUAACUGACGCUGAGGAGCGAAAGCGUGGGGAGCGAACAGGAUUAGAUACCCUGGUAGUCCACGCCGUAAACGGUGGGUACUAGGUGUGGGUUUCCUUCCUUGGGAUCCGUGCCGUAGCUAACGCAUUAAGUACCCCGCCUGGGGAGUACGGCCGCAAGGCUAAAACUCAAAGAAAUUGACGGGGGCCCGCACAAGCGGCGGAGCAUGUGGAUUAAUUCGAUGCAACGCGAAGAACCUUACCUGGGUUUGACAUGCACAGGACGCUGGUAGAGAUAUCAGUUCCCUUGUGGCCUGUGUGCAGGUGGUGCAUGGCUGUCGUCAGCUCGUGUCGUGAGAUGUUGGGUUAAGUCCCGCAACGAGCGCAACCCCUAUCUUAUGUUGCCAGCGCGUUAUGGCGGGGACUCGUAAGAGACUGCCGGGGUCAACUCGGAGGAAGGUGGGGAUGACGUCAAGUCAUCAUGCCCCUUAUGUCCAGGGCUUCACACAUGCUACAAUGGCCGGUACAAAGGGCUGCGAAUCCGUGAGGUGGAGCGAAUCCCUUGAAAGCCGGUCUCAGUUCGGAUCGGGGUCUGCAACUCGACCCCGUGAAGUCGGAGUCGCUAGUAAUCGCAGAUCAGCAACGCUGCGGUGAAUACGUUCCCGGGCCUUGUACACACCGCCCGUCACGUCAUGAAAGUCGGUAACACCCGAAGCCGGUGGCCU
Molecule: ribosomal RNA, 1329 nt
Filed under: Mycolicibacterium moriokaense
Lineage: Bacteria; Bacillati; Actinomycetota; Actinomycetes; Mycobacteriales; Mycobacteriaceae
Description: bacterial SSU rRNA
Rfam family: Bacterial small subunit ribosomal RNA
Source: RNAcentral